GUCGAGCGGACAGAUGGGAGCUUGCUCCCUGAUGUUAGCGGCGGACGGGUGAGUAACACGUGGGUAACCUGCCUGUAAGACUGGGAUAACUCCGGGAAACCGGGGCUAAUACCGGAUGGUUGUUUGAACCGCAUGGUUCAAACAUAAAAGGUGGCUUCGGCUACCACUUACAGAUGGACCCGCGGCGCAUUAGCUAGUUGGUGAGGUAACGGCUCACCAAGGCAACGAUGCGUAGCCGACCUGAGAGGGUGAUCGGCCACACUGGGACUGAGACACGGCCCAGACUCCUACGGGAGGCAGCAGUAGGGAAUCUUCCGCAAUGGACGAAAGUCUGACGGAGCAACGCCGCGUGAGUGAUGAAGGUUUUCGGAUCGUAAAGCUCUGUUGUUAGGGAAGAACAAGUACCGUUCGAAUAGGGCGGUACCUUGACGGUACCUAACCAGAAAGCCACGGCUAACUACGUGCCAGCAGCCGCGGUAAUACGUAGGUGGCAAGCGUUGUCCGGAAUUAUUGGGCGUAAAGGGCUCGCAGGCGGUUUCUUAAGUCUGAUGUGAAAGCCCCCGGCUCAACCGGGGAGGGUCAUUGGAAACUGGGGAACU
Molecule: ribosomal RNA, 599 nt
Filed under: Bacillus subtilis
Lineage: Bacteria; Bacillati; Bacillota; Bacilli; Caryophanales; Bacillaceae
Description: bacterial SSU rRNA
Rfam family: Bacterial small subunit ribosomal RNA
Source: RNAcentral